This 2714-nucleotide non-coding RNA is filed under the name Hevea brasiliensis (rubber tree). The record is from RNAcentral. Lineage: Eukaryota; Viridiplantae; Streptophyta; Magnoliopsida; Malpighiales; Euphorbiaceae.
GCGAUAUAUUUUGAUUCAAUCAAUUCAGUUUUUUAGUUUUAUCUAUUUGGUUCGGUUUGAAAUUUGAACAUAUUCAGUUUUUUAUUCGAUUCGAUUUUUUAUCGAUUAAAACUGAUUAAAUCAAAUAGUAAAAUGACCCAAAUAAUUUUUCAGCCUAAGAUGCAUAAGUCUCAAGGCCCAAGAUGCAUAACCCGAUCCAAGAUGCAUAACCCAAGAAAAAAAAUAAAAAUUCUAAUAUUUUUGGUUUAAUGCAACGGAAUCGAACUGAUAUUUUUUUGUUUGAUUCGGUUCGAUUUUUCUUAAGUGAUCGGUUCGGUUUGGUUUAUAUUUUUAAGCGAUUCGAUUUUUAGAUUUUUAGUAUUCAGUUCGAUUCGAUUCGAUUCGAAACCGAACUGACCGAAUGCUCUCCCCUAUCUAUGAUGAAUGCAUUUUUUUACAUUUAAGUAUUAUAUGAUAUUAAUAAAUGAGUGUUAAAACAAAAUAUUUUAAUUCAAUUUAUUUAUAUUAAAUCUGUAUCCAUCCAUCAGAGAAAUGCCAUUUUUUGUUUUGUUUUAAACAUAUAUAGAGAUUAAAAUAAUUAAUUAUAAUUCCAUAGAGCUAGUCCAAUUGAUAAAGAUAAAAGCCUCUUUUCUUAUUAAUCAUGAUUUGAUUUCAUUUAAAAGAGUGUGCCAUUAAAAUUGUUUAAAGAAAAAAAAAACUUCUCUCUCAUUUGGAGAGAGGACCAUUUAUGUCAGUUUCAUCUACGUUUAGCUUUCUUUGAAACAAUUAAAAUUAGGUCUCAGGUAGGUUUCCCUGCCUUUUGGGCAAAGAGAACCUUUAUUCGAUUGGAGAGUGGGCUUGUCUCCCUCCUCACUAUUUAGUUGAGUGUAGGCAUGUUUAAAAUAUUGGGCUUAAUGGGAGGGAUUUUCUUUAUAUUAUAUGUGUGGCUUUGGUUUACUGGGUUGCAAAAUGCAGGUUUUUCAUUUUUGAGAUAGAAUCAAGGAAGACGACUUGAAAAUUAAGAGCCAGUAUUUUUAAAGUGUGUUUGCUGGUACUCCAUGGUUUUGAAGACGACAACUUCUGUUUUGCUCUCCUCAAAGUCAAUAGCAUAAGAAGGCUAAAGGUUCCCUCUAGAGAUGAUUUUUUCUUAUUACCCAUGUUUAGGUUUCAAGCCUUGCAUGGGUAGGGAAGUAGCUCCUUCUUCUCUAAUCUCCUUCGGGUUGCUCUUAUUCAGUAGGUUUUGAUGAGGCGAUGCUGAGAAUUCUGUAGUCAAAUUAAGGAAUGGCUAGGGUUAAAGUGAAGAAAAGACAUUGACUUAUUUUUACUGGACUUGCAUUUGAGUUUGGAUUUUUAUGUAAAUGAAGCCUAUGACCUUAAUUUUUGUAACAUGUCUGGUAGAUUUUGUACAAUAUUAAUUGCAAUUAAAAAAAAUUUAAUUUUAAUGUGUAAAAAUUAAUUUGCGAAUAUUUUAUAAAUAAAAGAAAUUAAUUAAAAAUGGUUAAUGAGUGAGGGUGAGGUGAAAUGCUACUAAUACUAAAGAAAGGGAAUCAUAUCUACCUAGGGGCUCUCUCCUUUCUCUCCCAAAGCAGCAAAACUUAUUACAAGAAUUCCAAUCUCCCCAGGCACUCUCUCUCUCUCUCUCUCAGUUUAAUAAAAAACUUGCGUCCAACACGCAACCCUGACGUGAAUUUCUUUACUUUAGCUGUCCCCACCUCUCUCAUCCAAUCUUUCUUUCCCAUGCCAUAAAAAUCCCCUUUUUUUACCAUUCAAUCUUUCUCCUGUCGUCAUUUCUUGGUCAAAAUGCCAUCACUUCUCUUCUACCCCAAUAAAAUUUUCUUUAUUAUCUCCUCUGACACUUCCAAUUUCAGGAUAUCUUCUCUGUUUUAUUAAUUAAAUCUCACCACCCACAUUCUGCAAAUGUGUAAAAUUUCUUUAAAUACAUUAAUGGGAUGAGUCCUGGGAAAUUUUGGAUAUUAUAUUAUAAAAAAAUUAUCAAAUGGGUAUAAAAAACUCACCUUUCUCGUUAUGGCAGCAGGAAAACAGAGAUUUUUCAAUAGAUUUUGGGGCAAUAAUGAUUCUGCUGAAGCUGUAAUUUAGAACAAAAAAUUGGGUUUUGCUCUAUUUGGCGGCAGAAAGUGCUUCCCUGCAGUCGCAGUGUGAUCCCAUCUUACAAUAAUCUAACAAAAUAUAUAAAAAUUAAUAUUGCAACAAAUCAAACAAUUGAUCAAACCGGUAAGAAUAAGAUUCACUGGCCCCUCUCUCUGUCAAUUUGAAGGUCAAAUCUCACUUUCUUUAAAAUUCCAUCCCCACCUUCCUCUUCUCACUUGCUUUAAUUUACCCGCCAAGUGUAGAACCUGCUUGCUUGUCCAAUUGUCAUUGGUUGGUGUUUUCACCUUCUUCGAGAAAGAGUGGUAGUACACACCACUUGUUCAAAUUUUUUUCACUUUUUUUUAUUUUUGUCACUUGAUGAUGCAUUAACAACGGGCAUGGCUUUUUCUACAGAACAAUGCUUGAAAUGCAUUGAUAGAUUGCUUUCUCUCGUAUGGGUCUCUUUAAAGAAUGGCCACUCAAAGACUCAAUCUCUCUCUCUCUCUCUCAAGAAGUUGUAUAUAAAUGCAUGAGCAAGUCAGCUUCUUUGCUCCUUUGAAUUAGAGAUAUCAGAUAUGGGGAAGAAGAGCAUGCAUGCAUGACUAUAAUGGGCGAGUAGCUCUUGCUGGAGAAGCAGGGCACGUGCA